AACGCCGCGUCAAUCCAGUUCACCAAAGUCCUUUACGAAAUCCCCUCCACCACCUUCUUCAAAGUCUUCGCCUUCCACUAGAUCACAUCCUCCACCACCACCGUCAUCCCACUCUUCACCAAUGCCUCCUUUCCAUUCCCCACCGUCGCCACCACCACCGAAUUACUCUCACUCUUUAACUCCACCACCCCCGACUCAAAGAGUGUCACCAAAGACGCAUCUUCCACUGCCACCUCCGCCUGUUCACUACGAGCCCAUACAAUCUCCACCUCCACCACCAAUGGUACAACCACCUGCACCAGCCCCAUCAGGCCAUUACUAUAGUGCACCACCACCACCAAACCGUUACUCCAACGCCCCACCACCAAGCCAUUACCACAAUACACCACCCUCACCACCAAUGGAGCAACCACCUCGAACUCCAUCAGGCCAUUACUAUAAUAAUCCACCACCACCACCACAAUCACCAAACCAUUACUACAACAUACCUUCGCCACCACCACCAACAAAGAAUAUAUCACCAAGUACCCAUUAUGCACCACCUCCUCCCCCAUCUGUUCAUUAUGUUCCCACGCCUAGUCAUUCAUCUCCUCCACCGCCGCCACCUCAAGUUCAGUAUUUUCCACCUCCUUAUCCGUCAAGAGGGCAGCAAGCAAGUCCACCUCCACCACCAUCUCAUGAGCAUACGGGGACUCAAUCUCCACCUCCACCAGCAGAGUAUCAUCCACCUCCCAAGGAGUCAUGUCAUCCUAUCCCUCCUCCACCCCCACCAGAAUGCACAACUCCCGUAUCAGCACCACCACCGCCAAGCCAACAUUCAACCCCAUCACCAUAUGCACCAGCACCUGGUCAUCACUAUUCAAAACCAUCCCCAC
This 875-nucleotide long non-coding RNA is filed under the name Gossypium barbadense (sea-island cotton). RNAcentral describes it as "long non-coding RNA (GBAR_LNC015233)". Lineage: Eukaryota; Viridiplantae; Streptophyta; Magnoliopsida; Malvales; Malvaceae. The record is from RNAcentral.